AACCAACUAUAUCAACCAAAUAUCUCAUAAUCUUCAAUUAAACAGUUAUUCACCACUGUUAAUCAAUCACUUGCAACACAGUAAUCUUAAACUCAUCUCUAAAACACUAUAAGAGAAUCUAAUACUAGUCAUGGGUCUAAUAAUGAACGAAUACUCAUGACACUAAUAAAAUGAAUAUAGAGCGACUCUAAGAGUUCAAAUGGAGAGAACAUAGCAAACAAAUAAACUCUUCGCCCACAUGAACAAAUGUGGAGCUCACCAGGAACUAUCAACUAGUGUACUCUAAUUAAUGAAAUCCUCGCUCGCGUCAACUGCUGUCUCUAUAAAAGAAAUAGCGGGGAGUGAGUCACUAGCUCAGUGAGUAAUAACACUUAUUCACAAUCGUUUUAAUAGGGACAAGUCAGAAACAUGCGUUUAUAGUAAUAAUAAUCAGAAACUAUCAUAAAAAUAAAAUUCUCUCAAAACGGUAAAUAUAAUCAGUUUAUUCAUGAUUUCCUGUAACUAAAAUCAAUUUAACAAAUCAUUAAUAAACUCGAUAAACACUGUCUCAUACAAAAUCUUUAUAUUUGGGAGGUUUCCAAGAAAGGAUCAUGUAAUCUACAUCACUAUGUGGACCCCUUCGUAAAAGGAGUCAAAUGUAACUUGUAGGCCUCUACUCGAGAAAAAACUGUAACUGUAUGCUAGUUCUACCUUCCCACUAUUGAGAGCUAUAACUGUACUCGGUAAUCGGUAAAUACAAAGUGCACCGGGUCUAACGAACACACAGUCAGCUACGGGAUCCUUCAAAGUCUCCUCCCAUUUAUACUUUUUUUUGUAAACAGUAAAUAUUCACUUGGAAACAUUUUUAAAAUAGUACAUGGCAUUUCUUCUUAUCAAAUCAUGUAAUCCAAUUUCGGUAACGGUAAUCAUAUCUCAAGUAACAGUAAAACAUAUCUAGUAACAAUGAGAAUCUUUUAAAUAAUUGUAAACAUCUCAAGUAAAAUAUUUCAGUACCAUAUCAAGUCAAGGACGUGUCCCACAUGCAAUUUCAAAUAUUCGGUAAUACAUUUUACUUUCAAAAUAACGUAUAAACCAUGCAAGUUAUGAAAACACAAACUGUGGUAAGAUUACUACUCACUGUACUCGUGCCAAAAUACCAAACGCACCACCCCAAGCAAUCCGUAGCACUUCCUUCAAUCAAUCUAUAAUCACAUCAUAUUAAGCUAGUAUUAAUUUUCUUGUUUAGGCUAAUCCAUAACUAAUUUAGAAGAUGCAACUCUCAAAGUUCCAUAUUUGACCAUUAAUUUGUCAAAUUAUAUUUACCCAUUUUAUGAGAAAUUCAACUAAUCCGUAAUCUAUAAAUUUUAUCCUAUUUAUAUAAUAUACUCUGUAAUUCAUGAAAGGUCCUAUGGAUUUCUCACAAUCUCUUAACCUUCUUGUUUAAAAUCGAAAUCUAGUCUAACCUCAUAUUUACUUAGUCAUGUGUGGAAUUGUGUAUAUAAAGCUACUUCUGUUUCUAAAGAAAGAAAAAAUACAUGUAAUACCUGGAGUUUAUCAUAAAAAUACACCAAUAAUUUUCUGGUUUUUAUGCCUUGUUGAUGAAAAGAUUUUCACCAAAUCUCUUCUUUGGCUUGUUUUCCCUUUUCCCAUACGAGACUUCUUCCAGUUCUUAUAAAAUCCUCAAUCUCAAAACCCCUUUCUAACUAAAGCUUCUGCUAAAGCUCUUUUACGUUUUUGAUGGGCCAAG
Molecule: long non-coding RNA, 1726 nt
Filed under: Nicotiana tabacum (common tobacco)
Lineage: Eukaryota; Viridiplantae; Streptophyta; Magnoliopsida; Solanales; Solanaceae
Description: long non-coding RNA (NTAB_LNC016399)
Source: RNAcentral